This 101-nucleotide Y RNA is filed under the name Microcebus murinus (gray mouse lemur). RNAcentral describes it as "Y RNA (ENSMICG00000044728.1)". It matches the Rfam family "Y RNA". Rfam says of the family: Y RNAs are components of the Ro ribonucleoprotein particle (Ro RNP), in association with Ro60 and La proteins. The Y RNAs and Ro60 and La proteins are well conserved, but the function of the Ro RNP is not known. Lineage: Eukaryota; Metazoa; Chordata; Mammalia; Primates; Cheirogaleidae. The record is from Rfam by way of RNAcentral.
GGCUGGUCCAAGCGCAGUAGUGUUUAUAACUAAUUGAUCACAACCAGUUACAGAUUCCUUUGUUCCUUCUGCACUCCUACUGCUUCACUUGACUGCCUUUA